AUCCUCGAGAAGUCGUCCAGUCAGACGUACAACUCAAUAGCUUAUGUUUUUCUUCCCAUGAGAAUCAGUCUGAGGGCUUUUAGGAGUUGCUCCGAGGGUCUGCAGAGAGUUGGCUUCCAUGUCCAUGAUGGUUCUCAGAUCCAAGACUGGGGGCGGACGAGCGGGACUGCAGAUGGUAAUAAUGCAGUCACACAUUCGAAGAGUGUUCCAGUUCUGCCUCUGGUUUGGGGCUGAAUGCUGAGUCCAGAUCUUCAUCCUCAUACAUACUAAGGUCUGGAGCGCCAGGG
This is a long non-coding RNA of Xiphias gladius (swordfish), 287 nucleotides long. RefSeq lists it as uncharacterized. NCBI's taxonomy places the organism in Eukaryota, Metazoa, Chordata, Actinopteri, Istiophoriformes, Xiphiidae. The transcript is spliced from 3 exons. The record is from RefSeq and is a predicted model, not a curated record.